AGGAAUUUAGGUUAAACCAGACCAAGAGCCUUCAAAGCUCUAAGCAAGUAACCAUUACUUAAUUCCUG
Molecule: transfer RNA, 68 nt
Filed under: Dremomys gularis (red-throated squirrel)
Lineage: Eukaryota; Metazoa; Chordata; Mammalia; Rodentia; Sciuridae
Description: tRNA-Trp
Source: RNAcentral